UGCCAGGUUUUUUUGUAGCCAUAAGUACACAAACCACAAUCGGAGCAUGUUCUGUUAAAGUGUUUCUCAUGCAUCGACUCUCCUGAUUUAGUCUUAUUCUAAAACUGAGGCCGGGUUGAUUCAGUCUGACCAGUGUCAGCAGGUGGAUAUUGAAAUGUUCAACUAUGAUGGUGAGUAUGUUUUAUUGAAGUUUAAAGCUGGUUUGUAUGAAAUGUCCUUGUGAUGUAAUCCUGCUGUUCUCUGUUUUGAGGUUUAACUCCAUUGCAUGCAGCUGUCUUGUCUCACAAGGCUGUGGUUAAAGAGCUGAGGACUCUGGGGAAUCUGUGCUCAUAUAUGGCAAAGGAGCUAGCGCAGAGGGCACACACACAUACAUCAAGACUCUCCUGCUUACGGGAGCCUCCAGUGGGACGAAGGAUCAAAAAAGUGGAAGGACGUGUCUUCACAUGGCUGCCAAGGAGGUAAACGUGGAGCUGUUCAACAUUUUCCUGGACCAGCCGCAGUCAGCUUUAAAUGUUAAUGUGGUGUUUUCAAAAACACUUCAUAUAAUUUGUAAAGUUAAAAUACUGCUUGCAGCACCUUUCAGGUGACUUGUAAUGUUUGUUUAUUUGACACUGUUCAUAAAGUUAUUUGAAUGUAUCACUUCCUGUCAAUCUUGCAUCACUUCCUGUCAUGCUGUUAGAAAAUUGUAGAAACUCAAGGAGGCCACAUGUUUAGGCACUGUUAGGAGCCAUUUGCAUCUGCAUGAAAAGACUGAUCAAUCAAUGUCGACUGCGAGGACAUUCACCUGACAUCAAUGAAGACGGUGGCUUCUUGAGUUUCUGAAGAAGCCACUAUACCAUACGCGUAGCUGUAAAAAAAGCUGGAAAAUGAUCUGGAAAAUCUGUCACAGCAGCCAGUGAAUGUAGCGUAUUGACUGCGAGGACACUCAUCUGACAUCAACGAAGACGGUGGCUUCUUGAGAUCCUGAAGAACUUACGGACUGCGAGGACAUUCAUCUGACAUCAAAAGACGGUGGAUUCUUGAGUUUCUGAAGGACUUACGGUACUAUACUAUGACUUUUCUGAU
Molecule: long non-coding RNA, 1065 nt
Organism: Gymnodraco acuticeps
Lineage: Eukaryota; Metazoa; Chordata; Actinopteri; Perciformes; Bathydraconidae
Exons: 5
Source: RefSeq, a predicted model, not a curated record